UUUCUAGAGGCCAUCUUUCCCCUUGGCUCAUGGUCCCUUCCUUCAUCUUCAAAGCCAGCGGUGUAGCAUCGUAGCAUCUUCAUGUCUCCUUGGGAUAAGAUGGGGCUCUCCUGGAUGAUUCAAGAAAGAAAAUAUCUGAAUAGCUCGCAAAAUGAAUGAGUCAUGUGGCUUCUGCAGCAGCCCAAGUGGUGGAAAUCAGACUGUUCUUGUCCUCGGGAAAACAACACUAAGCCACAUCUGUGAUGAGCCAGAAAUCAGUUUUAUGUAAAAGAAUAUGUGAGGGAACAGAAAGGGGAAGAAGUCUGGAAAAUCCAUGGCACAAACCCACAGCAAAUUCAUCCUGAAGUUUGCACGUGUCACUUACCAAUGCGAAAAGACUGGAAUCAAGACAGCUCUUCAAGAGGCCUGAAACCAUCAUGCACUGAAAUCAGAAUCAAGGACCUCCCUGGGUUUUACACACAGUUCCAGCUACAGAAAAGUUUCAGGAUAAGUUAGUAUCCACUGGGACUUUGCAGACCAGAAUAAGAAUUACCCACCAAAGACCAUACAUGACAUGGAAUCAGAAAGCUUCCAAAUUCAUAUGGGUGUUUGUAUUACUUUGCAACUAAUUUAUCACCAAGCCUUUUAUCAUAUAUCACUAGACAUUUUAAUAUAUGUAGGGUUCCAUUCUUUCCUAUCCUGUUAUUUGCUAAAACAUUUCUAGCUUCGCCUAUCCCAUUUAUAUCCUUGUCUAACCCUCUGCCAUUUUCACAUAGAUUUGGGGGCUUUCGAGAUACGGAGGUUGGAGGAAAUGGUGAAAGGCAUGGGGGAGAAAGGCAAGCGGUGCUUAAGGCAGGGCUGGAGGGGAAGCCUCAAAGAUGUUGGACACUUCUGGGAAUCUUACGGGAAAGAAAAUGGAACGUUAACUGUAGUGAGUUUUGUACAUCCUUAGUAAUAAAAAUAAAGAAUGUGGGUAAUUGAAA
Long non-coding RNA from Homo sapiens (human), 962 nucleotides. RefSeq lists it as uncharacterized. Lineage: Eukaryota; Metazoa; Chordata; Mammalia; Primates; Hominidae. The transcript is spliced from 2 exons. The record is from RefSeq and is a predicted model, not a curated record.